This 342-nucleotide unclassified non-coding RNA is filed under the name Ramicandelaber taiwanensis. RNAcentral describes it as "partial internal transcribed spacer region". The stretch from base 1 to 46 matches the Rfam family "Eukaryotic small subunit ribosomal RNA", at positions 1786 to 1831 of the family's 1831-position model. RNAcentral also lists the same sequence under 1 other name. Lineage: Eukaryota; Fungi; Kickxellomycota; Ramicandelaberales; Ramicandelaberaceae. The record is from RNAcentral.
AAGUCGUAACAAGGUAUCCGUAGGUGAACCUGCGGAUGGAUCAUUACCAAUUUUAUAUACUAGUGUGUAUGCCGCUGUCAAAGGUGGUACUACACUACUACUAUUAUGUAAACGUUGAACUAGAUCAAUUGGUGUGGAUUGCUUGGGAAUGGACGAAGCGACAAGCCUCUUCCGGACAGGCAAACCCCACACUGAUACCCUUUUCAAUAUAUACUAUACUACUAGUACAUACUACAAACAAACAAAAGCUAUAAUAGGACUUAUAAACAGGCUGAGUGGGUAAAAUCCUCGGCUUAACCAAUAUAACUAUUACAACUUUCAGCAAUGGAUCUCUAGGCUCUC